CGCACCUUGCGCUCCUUGGUAUUCCGAGGAGCAUGCCUGUUUGAGUGUCAUGAUAAUCUCAAUUCAGCAUUUUGGUUCCUCCAAUUUGUUGACUUGGACUUGGGGGUUGUGCUGAUCUUUGUAUUGGCUCCUCUUAAAUGUAUUAGCUGGAUUACUGUCAGUAAUAGUCCAUGGUGUUGUAAUCUCGGCGCUGUGACUUAACUAGACGACAAUCUGCUUCUAGUGUAAUUGCUUCUGGCAAUAUUUGUACACUUGACCUCAAAUCAGGUAGGACUACCCGCUGAACUUAA
RNAcentral lists this unclassified non-coding RNA (290 nucleotides) under Sistotremastrum sp. Its description in RNAcentral is "partial contains 5.8S ribosomal RNA, internal transcribed spacer 2, and large subunit ribosomal RNA". The record is from RNAcentral. Lineage: Eukaryota; Fungi; Basidiomycota; Agaricomycetes; Sistotremastrales; Sistotremastraceae.